GACGAACGCUGGCGGCGUGCCUAAUACAUGCAAGUAGAACGCUGAAGGAGGAGCUUGCUUCUCUGGAUGAGUUGCGAACGGGUGAGUAACGCGUAGGUAACCUGCCUGGUAGCGGGGGAUAACUAUUGGAAACGAUAGCUAAUACCGCAUAAGAGUAGAUGUCGCAUGACAUUUGCUUAAAAGGUGCAAUUGCAUCACUACCAGAUGGACCUGCGUUGUAUUAGCUAGUUGGUGAGGUAACGGCUCACCAAGGCAACGAUACAUAGCCGACCUGAGAGGGUGAUCGGCCACACUGGGACUGAGACACGGCCCAGAAUCCUACGGGAGGCAGCAGUAGGGAAUCUUCGGCAAUGGACGGAAGUCUGACUGAGCAACGCCGCGUGAGUGAAGAAGGUUUUCGGAUCGUAAAGCUCUGUUGUAAGAGAAGAACGAGUGUGAGAGUGGAAAGUUCACACUGUGACGGUAUCUUACCAGAAAGGGACGGCUAACUACGUG
RNAcentral lists this ribosomal RNA (495 nucleotides) under uncultured bacterium. RNAcentral's name for it is "partial 16S ribosomal RNA". It matches the Rfam family "Bacterial small subunit ribosomal RNA", at positions 28 to 507 of the family's 1533-position model. The record is from RNAcentral.